RNAcentral lists this small nucleolar RNA (136 nucleotides) under Chelydra serpentina (North American snapping turtle). RNAcentral describes it as "Small nucleolar RNA U3 (ENSCSRG00000011028.1)". It matches the Rfam family "Small nucleolar RNA U3", at positions 1 to 137 of the family's 219-position model. Rfam says of the family: Small nucleolar RNAs (snoRNAs) are involved in the processing and modification of rRNA in the nucleolus. There are two main classes of snoRNAs: the box C/D class, and the box H/ACA class. Lineage: Eukaryota; Metazoa; Chordata; Testudines; Chelydridae. The record is from Rfam by way of RNAcentral.
AAGGCUAUGCUUUCAGGGAUCAUUUCUCUAGUGGGUGACUGGAGAAGGGUGGUUGUAAAAGCCUGGUCUCGCUAACCACGAUGAGGAACUGUAGUGUUUCUUUCUGAGCAUGACGCUGGUAGAGAGUGCUGUUCUG